Molecule: RNase P RNA, 375 nt
Filed under: Escherichia coli
Lineage: Bacteria; Pseudomonadati; Pseudomonadota; Gammaproteobacteria; Enterobacterales; Enterobacteriaceae
Description: RNase P RNA component class A
Rfam family: Bacterial RNase P class A
About the family: Ribonuclease P (RNase P) is a ubiquitous endoribonuclease, found in archaea, bacteria and eukarya as well as chloroplasts and mitochondria. Its best characterised activity is the generation of mature 5'-ends of tRNAs by cleaving the 5'-leader elements of precursor-tRNAs.
Source: RNAcentral
GAAGCUGACCAGACAGUCGCCGCUUCGUCGUCGUCCUCUUCGGGGGAGACGGGCGGAGGGGAGGAAAGUCCGGGCUCCAUAGGGCAGGGUGCCAGGUAACGCCUGGGGGAAACCCACGACCAGUGCAACAGAGAGCAAACCGCCGAUGGCCCGCGUAAGCGGGAUCAGGUAAGGGUGAAAGGGUGCGGUAAGAGCGCACCGCGCGGCUGGUAACAGUCCGUGGCACGGUAAACUCCACCCGGAGCAAGGCCAAAUAGGGGUUCAUAAGGUACGGCCCGUACUGAACCCGGGUAGGCUGCUUGAGCCAGUGAGCGAUUGCUGGCCUAGAUGAAUGACUGUCCACGACAGAACCCGGCUUAUCGGUCAGUUUCACCU